GCCGGGCAUGGUGACUCAUGCCUGUAAUCCCAGCACUUUGGGAGGCUGAGGUGGGUGGAUCACUUGAGGUCAGGAGUUCGAGACCUGCCUGACCAACAUAGUGAAACCCCGUCUCUA
Unclassified non-coding RNA from Macaca mulatta (Rhesus monkey), 117 nucleotides. It matches the Rfam family "Metazoan signal recognition particle RNA". From Rfam's summary of the family: The signal recognition particle (SRP) is a universally conserved ribonucleoprotein. It is involved in the co-translational targeting of proteins to membranes. NCBI's taxonomy places the organism in Eukaryota, Metazoa, Chordata, Mammalia, Primates, Cercopithecidae. The record is from Ensembl.